RNAcentral lists this ribosomal RNA (491 nucleotides) under Desulfovibrio sp. enrichment culture clone NKiSA2. RNAcentral describes it as "bacterial SSU rRNA". It matches the Rfam family "Bacterial small subunit ribosomal RNA", at positions 18 to 487 of the family's 1533-position model. The record is from RNAcentral. Lineage: Bacteria; Pseudomonadati; Thermodesulfobacteriota; Desulfovibrionia; Desulfovibrionales; Desulfovibrionaceae.
CCUGGCUCAGAUUGAACGCUGGCGGCGUGCUUAACACAUGCAAGUCGAGCGAGAAAGCUCUCUUCGGAGAGUGAGUAGAGCGGCGCACGGGUGAGUAACGCGUGGAUAAUCUGCCCUGAAGAUCGGGAUAACAGUUGGAAACGGCUGCUAAUACCGUAUAAUCUGCAUAUUUAACUUUAUGUGGGAAAGAUGGCCUCUACUUGUAAGCUAUCACUUUUGGAUGAGUCCGCGUCUCAUUAGCUUGUUGGUGGGGUAAUGGCCUACCAAGGCAACGAUGAGUAGCUGGUCUGAGAGGAUGAUCAGCCACACUGGGACUGAAACACGGCCCAGACUCCUACGGGAGGCAGCAGUGGGGAAUAUUGCGCAAUGGGGGAAACCCUGACGCAGCGACGCCGCGUGUAGGAAGAAGGCCUUCGGGUCGUAAACUACUGUCAAGAGGGAAGAAACCGUAGAGUAUUAAUACGACUCUGCGCUGACGGUACCUCUAGAGA